AUUGAACGCUGGCGGCAUGCCUUACACAUGCAAGUCGAACGGCAGCACGGGAGCAAUCCUGGUGGCGAGUGGCGAACGGGUGAGUAAUAUAUCGGAACGUGCCCCAGUCGUGGGGGAUAACGUAGCGAAAGCUACGCUAAUACCGCAUACGCCCUGAGGGGGAAAGCGGGGGAUUCUUCGGAACCUCGCGCAAUUGGAGCGGCCGAUGUCAGAUUAGCUUGUUGGUGAGGUAAAGGCUCACCAAGGCGACGAUCUGUAGCGGGUCUGAGAGGAUGAUCCGCCACACUGGGACUGAGACACGGCCCAGACUCCUACGGGAGGCAGCAGUGGGGAAUUUUGGACAAUUGGGGGCAACCCUGAUCCAGCCAUGCCGCGUGAGUGAAGAAGGCCUUCGGGUUGUAAAGCUCUUUCAGCCGGGAAGAAAACGCACUCUCUAACAUAGGGUGUGGAUGACGGUACCGGAAGAAGAAGCACCGGCUAACUACGUG
Molecule: ribosomal RNA, 488 nt
Filed under: uncultured bacterium
Lineage: Bacteria
Description: bacterial SSU rRNA
Rfam family: Bacterial small subunit ribosomal RNA
Source: RNAcentral